This 3151-nucleotide long non-coding RNA is filed under the name Zea mays. Its description in RNAcentral is "long non-coding RNA (ZMAY_LNC004896)". The record is from RNAcentral. Lineage: Eukaryota; Viridiplantae; Streptophyta; Magnoliopsida; Poales; Poaceae.
ACAGCAGAACCCGCGAGGGAGGCGCUUGAACAACGAGUUGGUCAUCAGAACCGGGUCCCCUGAAUUUACUUUCUCAACUGCAGGGAAGUAUCUCCUGAAUUUCACCUAAUCUCAAGCGUUCAUUCAAAUAGACUCAAUCUCAGCCACACACGUUGCUCAAGGCCAAAAAAGAAUCCAUCCAGAGACUUCCCAUCGGAAUACCAACGCAGAACAGCGCUCGACGAGUACGGCACCCAAUCUCCCAGCCCCGGCGGCGCCCGACCUCCAAACCCAGCAGCGCCCUGGCUUGGAUCCCGACGGCGGCGUCCUCCCUCGCGUCCCGGCGGCGGCGGCCUCCCACACGUCCCGACGGCGGCGUCCUCCCUCGCGUCCCGACGGCGGCGUCCUCCCACACGUCCCAACGGCGGCGGCCUCCCCCGACCCCAAACAGCAGCGCCCUGCCUCCGACAUCAACGAUGCUCUCCAUUGUCAACCUGGUAAUGCUUCCUAAAUAACUAGUUUUGUUUAGACUAAUAAGUGCAUUACAUGUCUAAUUCAAAAUGAAUUACAUGUCUGAUUCAAGUCUUAGCAAAAGAUCUCAGAAGCUAAUUAGAUUGACAAAUCAACUAAUUCCUCCAUUAUAGCUUGAUCCUUGUGAGUUUAGACCACCCUACACCAUAAGAUAAACCAAAUGAUAAGUAAUAAUAAAGUGUGAUCAAUCUUAUUAGUCAUAGGUGGAUAUUUACCAGUAAUAGCUCAGUAAAGCUAGUAAAAGAUCCAAAGCCCUCAAACACGCUAGGAUUGUCUUCGGGCAUGUUUUGGCUUCUUUGUCUUUGUCUUUGUGAUGCUCUAUGCAACUUUUCAUACCAUGUUCUUUGCCGCCUUGAAGUCCUCUUCUUAACAACCUUUUUCUUUAAACCAGUGAUGUGAGAGUACUCUUCAGGUAUUGCAAUUGUUGUUUGUUCCUUAGGCUGGUUAGCCAACUCAUUUGGAGUGUUUUUUAUCUUUUCAUCAACAUCUCUAUGUAGAGUAUCGAGUACAUUAUCAAUAUAUGAAUAGAUUUCUUCAUAGUCAGCUGCACGAGAAGCAAGUGACAGGAACUUGCGGGCAAGAUUUUGGUAGUGUCUUGUUGCAUCAAUUUUUGGGUUUUCUAUAACAUUGUCUCCACGAAUAUCUUGUAUAGAACCACAUCUUGCUUCACGAGUCCAUCUCUUUAGAAUGUAGUGCUCAGGCAAUACCUUAAUAUUCAUCAUGUCAAGAACCUUUAAAGCGUGACAACACAUUAUUCCAACUCUUUCAAAUUGCCGGCAGCUGCAACAAACCAUUUCAUUCGGAGGAUCAAAUUCAACUUUGUAUUCCUUUUCCAUUAUGGUUUUUCCAUCCACAACCUUAACAACCCCCAUAGUGAACUCAUUAGGUUUUUCCAUUGGUCUAGCAUAUGCUGCCAAUGAUCUUUCAUACUCAACUUGAAAGGCUUCAAAAAUACAUGCAGUGUACAUGUUGCUUGCUUGUAUCAACAUAGGUGUUCUCACAUGUAUUCGUGGCAAUUUCUUUCUUGAGUUGUAUUCAGCAUCCAACUCUUUAUCUCGCUUGCUUGCAACCACCCUUUCAAAAUGAGUGAAAAACCUAGCAAUGUCCAAAUCACAUUUUAAAACAUCUUUCAUAUCUUUGUUUAGGCUUUCACUUAAUUGUGUGCUUCGCAUUCCAAGAGUGAAUACGUUCUUCAUGUAACAUUCAGCCCAUUUCUCCUUUUGUUGGUAGAGACCACCCAACCAAGUAUCAUUUUUCACUUUACUUCUCAAGGUGCUGAAACUUUUCUCAAAUGUGUUCACAUCCUCAUAUUCAUACAUACAUGCACUUAACUCAGCCAAGGCACUAGAUUCAUCUCUUCCUGUGCGAGCUAGGUGUUUUAUAGCAUUUUGCAUAAUGUGAAAUGAACACAAGCCAUGCCAAGAUUCCAGAAAUACCACUGAUAUUGCAUUUUUCAUUGCCAUAUCUUGAUCUGUAUAGAUAGUUCUUGGAUGCUUUUGCUUGUGUGCUUCUAGAAAUGCUUCAAACAACCAUUUGAAAGAAGAUUCUGUUUCAUCAUACUUCCUGCCUCUCCAUACAUCAUAUUUCUUUGUCUUUUUGUCCUCAAAUAAUUUUUGUGAUCAAUUCUUGUGUAACCAAGGUUACAUGAACCACCAGCUUGUCUACUAGCUAACUCAUGAGCAUCUUUAGGGCUAAUUCCACAAUCAUCUGCCAUAUCAAUUUGACAAGCUUGCACACUUGAAAUUUUCCGUUGUGAAGGAAUUAGGUGGCAUGUUUCAGGAAGUUGAAGAAUAUGGUUAUGUUCAAGUACUAAAUCAUUUAACUGGUAAUUUCCCUCUUCUCUGUUUAAUAUAAUGCUCAUUCGAACUUUACAACCAGUUCUUGUUUCAGCCCGAGGAUGCUUUGUUAGAUGAUCUCUUGGAUCUUUUUCUCUAAAACCAGCCUUUGCACACACAAAUCUGCUUGAAGUGGAUACUCCAUCUGUUUUUCUUUUGUUGUUAUAUUGUUUUCUUGCAUCAAAUCCUACCAUACCACCAUAGGAAACCCAUAAAUUCCAUGCCUGUUCUACACUAUUAAAUUUCAUACCAAUACUUGGCACCCAAGAAGGUUGAUUCUCCAUUCUACAAGAAAAAACACAAUGCAGUUCUAAGUUUGGUGUUUACUUGCUCAUAAAAGAACUUGCACCAAAAUUUAGUUGCCAAAUAAAACCAGAUGAUUUGAUGGAAAAAGUUUGAUUUUGACUUACUUUUGUGGUUCCAUUCAGGUGGCAGUAGCUAUUUGCCUUUCACAAAAGCAAAAACAAGAGAGUGGGGACCAAGAGAAUAAGAUGGAGGGGACCAAGAGAAGAGAAGGAGGAUAGGAACCAGGGACCUUGGAGUGUUGCGAGUAGGAAGAAAAGGAACAAGAAAUGGAGGGGACCAAGAGAACAAAAGGAGAGGGAGACCAGGAGUUGCCUGGAGUGUUGGCGCAUUUUUUAGUUGCCUGGAUUGUUGGCGUCUUUUUUAAGUUCUCUAUAGUGUUGGCACCUUUUUUUAUUGGCUGGAGUGUUGGCACCACUUUAUAGUGUACUUUAUUGAGUCCAACCGCUGAGAUGAAGCUAAAUUCAGUGAAGUUAUGUUUGUCAAAUUGAGAGGACCCGGUU